This is a regulatory RNA element of Gasterosteus aculeatus (three-spined stickleback), 54 nucleotides long. It matches the Rfam family "UnaL2 LINE 3' element". Rfam says of the family: The eel long interspersed element (LINE) UnaL2 and its partner short interspersed element (SINE) share a conserved 3' tail containing a stem-loop that is critical for their retrotransposition. Presumably, the first step of retrotransposition is the recognition of their 3' tails by UnaL2-encoded reverse transcriptase. The solution structure of a 17-nucleotide RNA derived from the 3' tail of UnaL2 was determined by NMR. The record is from Rfam. Lineage: Eukaryota; Metazoa; Chordata; Actinopteri; Perciformes; Gasterosteidae.
UUAAAAAUGCAAUGUAAGUCGCUUUGGAUAAAAGCGUCAGCUAAAUGACUUGUA